GCGGCGGUGUGCCUAAUACAUGCAAGUCGAACGCGUUGGCCCAAUUGAUUGAUGGUGCUUGCACCUGAUUGAUUUUGGUCGCCAACGAGUGGCGGACGGGUGAGUAACACGUAGGUAACCUGCCCAGAAGCGGGGGACAACAUUUGGAAACAGAUGCUAAUACCGCAUAACAGCGUUGUUCGCAUGAACAACGCUUAAAAGAUGGCUUCUCGCUAUCACUUCUGGAUGGACCUGCGGUGCAUUAGCUUGUUGGUGGGGUAACGGCCUACCAAGGCGAUGAUGCAUAGCCGAGUUGAGAGACUGAUCGGCCACAAUGGGACUGAGACACGGCCCAUACUCCUACGGGAGGCAGCAGUAGGGAAUCUUCCACAAUGGGCGCAAGCCUGAUGGAGCAACACCGCGUGAGUGAAGAAGGGUUUCGGCUCGUAAAGCUCUGUUGUUAAAGAAGAACACGUAUGAGAGUAACUGUUCAUACGUUGACGGUAUUUAACCAGAAAGUCACGGCUAACUACGUGCCAGCAGCCGCGGUAAUACGUAGGUGGCAAGCGUUAUCCGGAUUUAUUGGGCGUAAAGAGAGUGCAGGCGGUUUUCUAAGUCUGAUGUGAAAGCCUUCGGCUUAACCGGAGAAGUGCAUCGGAAACUGGAUAACUUGAGUGCAGAAGAGGGUAGUGGAACUCCAUGUGUAGCGGUGGAAUGCGUAGAUAUAUGGAAGAACACCAGUGGCGAAGGCGGCUACCUGGUCUGCAACUGACGCUGAGACUCGAAAGCAUGGGUAGCGAACAGGAUUAGAUACCCUGGUAGUCCAUGCCGUAAACGAUGAGUGCUAGGUGUUGGAGGGUUUCCGCCCUUCAGUGCCGGAGCUAACGCAUUAAGCACUCCGCCUGGGGAGUACGACCGCAAGGUUGAAACUCAAAGGAAUUGACGGGGGCCCGCACAAGCGGUGGAGCAUGUGGUUUAAUUCGAAGCUACGCGAAGAACCUUACCAGGUCUUGACAUCUUGCGCCAACCCUAGAGAUAGGGCGUUUCCUUCGGGAACGCAAAGACAGGUGGUGCAUGGUCGUCGUCAGCUCGUGUCGUGAGAUGUUGGGUUAAGUCCCGCAACGAGCGCAACCCUUGUUACUAGUUGCCAGCAUUAAGUUGGGCACUCUAGUGAGACUGCCGGUGACAAACCGGAGGAAGGUGGGGACGACGUCAGAUCAUCAUGCCCCUUAUGACCUGGGCUACACACGUGCUACAAUGGACGGUACAACGAGUCGCGAACUCGCGAGGGCAAGCAAAUCUCUUAAAACCGUUCUCAGUUCGGACUGCAGGCUGCAACUCGCCUGCACGAAGUCGGAAUCGCUAGUAAUCGCGGAUCAGCAUGCCGCGGUGAAUACGUUCCCGGGCCUUGUACACACCGCCCGUCACACCAUGAGAGUUUGUAACACCCAAAGUCGGUGGGGUAACCUUUUAGGAGCCAGCCGCCUAAGGUGGACAGAUGA
Molecule: ribosomal RNA, 1481 nt
Filed under: Limosilactobacillus fermentum
Lineage: Bacteria; Bacillati; Bacillota; Bacilli; Lactobacillales; Lactobacillaceae
Description: bacterial SSU rRNA
Rfam family: Bacterial small subunit ribosomal RNA
Source: RNAcentral